ACAAGGCUUUAGAUUAAAUGCAAAGUAGUUAAUGGCAUACUCUAGAGCCUCCUUCUGGUGGGCCUGGCUCCAGCCGAGCAGUCAACAUAAUUCUGUCAUUACAUCGAUGUUCUCCGAUCUUGACAUUUCGGUUGCAAACGUUUCAUCACCAGACGAGUGUUCCAAUUUGGUGAGUUCAAAAGCUUGAUGUUCUUCUAUCCAGGUAUGUAUUCAGCCUCCUCGUCUAAGAUCUUGCGCUGGAUCAUGGAUUCCCCCAGGCAAUAUUGGCCAGGCAAGUUCACUAUGGUAGUUCUCGACUGAACCACUGGAUUGCAUUACUUCUGCAAAGGGGACUGAAUGGCGAGUACGAUCUGCAGUUGGUAUUUCUCAAGUAUUCCCAGCUACAGACCACACACGGUCCAGCUGGGAGAUGAUGGGAAAAGAGGGUUUAAAAGCAUCUGAAUAAAGCAAUGUGAAACAAA
Molecule: long non-coding RNA, 461 nt
Organism: Electrophorus electricus (electric eel)
Lineage: Eukaryota; Metazoa; Chordata; Actinopteri; Gymnotiformes; Gymnotidae
Source: RefSeq, a predicted model, not a curated record